GACGAACGCUGGCGGCGUGCUUAACACAUGCAAGUCGAACGAAGUGGCGAACGGUAGAGUAAUACGUGGGUAACCUGCCCUCCUUUUUGGGAUAAGCCUUGGAAACGGGGUCUAAUACCGAAUAUCGGGGGAUGGGCUCGCGGCCUAUCAGCUUGUUGGUGGGGUGAUGGCCUACCAAGGCGGUGACGGGUAGCCGGCCUGAGAGGGUGACCGGCCACAUUGGGACUGAGAUACGGCCCAGACUCCUACGGGAGGCAGCAGUGGGGAAUAUUGCACAAUGGGCGCAAGCCUGAUGCAGCCAUGCCGCGUGUAUGAAGAAGGCCUUCGGGUUGUAAAGUGCUUUCAGCGAGGAGGCGUUACUCGCAGAAGAAGCACCGGCUAACUCCGUGCCAGCAGCCGCGGUAAUUC
Molecule: ribosomal RNA, 408 nt
Filed under: uncultured bacterium
Lineage: Bacteria
Description: partial 16S ribosomal RNA
Rfam family: Bacterial small subunit ribosomal RNA
Source: RNAcentral